This 649-nucleotide long non-coding RNA is filed under the name Mus pahari (shrew mouse). RNAcentral's name for it is "lncRNA (MGP_PahariEiJ_G0003783.1)". Lineage: Eukaryota; Metazoa; Chordata; Mammalia; Rodentia; Muridae. The record is from RNAcentral.
GGAGGGAAACCGCGAGGGUUCGGCGGCUGCGGAGGCGCUGGCCAUUGGGCUGCACCGCCGCGCUCCUGGCCUGGCCCUGCGCCCGGGCCCGCCCGUCCCGCUUCCCCAGCCAGGUGAACAAGCCACCAGUCUGUGGUCAUCUGCGGUGGGAAGCUUUACUGGACAGGUCCUACAAGAAGCCAGGGACUCCUGGAUUGAUGUCUGGAGCUGUGCAGUGCCACUAUAGCAGAAGGGGACAUACCAGCCUGGAGCAGGUACUAAGGGACGCUGAGACCCGGGGUGGGGUGGGGUGUGAGGAUUUCCCUUGCUCUUGCCUGCUUAGGGGGAGCAGGAGCUGGGGCAGGGUGUUGGACUUCCUUUUUUCCCUCAUGCCUGGGAGCUUCCUCGUGGAGCCCAGCGUCCUCCCCCCAGAGACCUUGGACUCAGAUGUUAUCAGAUGUCCAGCCCCCAGAACUCCCUUCCUCCCGUCUCCAGGAACUGUCACUGGCCUACAGCCCAACCAAUGAGCUUAAAUCGAUCUCUGUGAUGAGCUCCAAUUACUGGUCUCAGGACCCUGCCUCAGCAUGGGUCUGGGGUUCCAGGAGAAAGAUAGGACAGUCAUACACCAGCCUUUUCCCUCAAGUGUCCUGGGGACUUUUUCCUACUUUCC